This 475-nucleotide unclassified non-coding RNA is filed under the name Hevea brasiliensis (rubber tree). Lineage: Eukaryota; Viridiplantae; Streptophyta; Magnoliopsida; Malpighiales; Euphorbiaceae. The record is from RNAcentral.
AUGACUUCUCGCUGCAGCUGAGGAGGGAAUUGGAGAAGAAUGCUGAGAAAAACUAAGUAACUAAUUUGUGUUGUCUCUCAGUAUUAGCAUAUGUAAUGGAGUAUCAAUUAGUAGUUUGAGCACAAGAUGUUCUUUCCAUGUGCUUAGCAUGGAGAAGAUUGUGUGAACUAUUAAGAUCAUUUAGUUCAGUUCAAAAAGUUCUGGAACUUCAGACUUUUAUUUUCUACAACUUCGACUUUACGUGCUAGGGUUUUGUGCUUGAAUGGGUUGCCUCAUAGGACCAUGUUAAAUUCCUCCGUUUGUGUAGUACGUUUAUGAAUAACAUGCUAUCAUGGUGAGUUGAUGAUGGUAUCCCACUCGAGCGGUUGAGCCAACAUCUUGACAUUGGGAGAACAGUCCUUUUCUGCCAUGGUGAUGGAAUGCUGUGGCCUUGCAACAUACAAUGGAAAGUGAUUCUUUGUUUUUGUGGUGGUGC